AAAUUAUUUUCUUAGGUUUGUCUAGAAAUGGAUGUAUCUAAAUACCAAAACAUGACUAGAUACAUUCAUAUGUAGACAAAUCUAAGACAAUAAUUUUGGGACGGAGGGAGUACUAG
Molecule: non-coding RNA, 116 nt
Organism: Hordeum vulgare subsp. vulgare (domesticated barley)
Lineage: Eukaryota; Viridiplantae; Streptophyta; Magnoliopsida; Poales; Poaceae
Source: Rfam